This 857-nucleotide ribosomal RNA is filed under the name Staphylococcus aureus. Its description in RNAcentral is "partial 23S ribosomal RNA". It matches the Rfam family "Bacterial large subunit ribosomal RNA", at positions 613 to 1473 of the family's 2925-position model. The record is from RNAcentral. Lineage: Bacteria; Bacillati; Bacillota; Bacilli; Caryophanales; Staphylococcaceae.
GAAUGAACCGGCGAGUUACGAUUUGAUGCAAGGUUAAGCAGUAAAUGUGGAGCCGUAGCGAAAGCGAGUCUGAAUAGGGCGUUUAGUAUUUGGUCGUAGACCCGAAACCAGGUGAUCUACCCUUGGUCAGGUUGAAGUUCAGGUAACACUGAAUGGAGGACCGAACCGACUUACGUUGAAAAGUGAGCGGAUGAACUGAGGGUAGCGGAGAAAUUCCAAUCGAACCUGGAGAUAGCUGGUUCUCUCCGAAAUAGCUUUAGGGCUAGCCUCAAGUGAUGAUUAUUGGAGGUAGAGCACUGUUUGGACGAGGGGCCCCUCUCGGGUUACCGAAUUCAGACAAACUCCGAAUGCCAAUUAAUUUAACUUGGGAGUCAGAACAUGGGUGAUAAGGUCCGUGUUCGAAAGGGAAACAGCCCAGACCACCAGCUAAGGUCCCAAAAUAUAUGUUAAGUGGAAAAGGAUGUGGCGUUGCCCAGACAACUAGGAUGUUGGCUUAGAAGCAGCCAUCAUUUAAAGAGUGCGUAAUAGCUCACUAGUCGAGUGACACUGCGCCGAAAAUGUACCGGGGCUAAACAUAUUACCGAAGCUGUGGAUUGUCCUUUGGACAAUGGUAGGAGAGCGUUCUAAGGGCGUUGAAGCAUGAUCGUAAGGACAUGUGGAGCGCUUAGAAGUGAGAAUGCCGGUGUGAGUAGCGAAAGACGGGUGAGAAUCCCGUCCACCGAUUGACUAAGGUUUCCAGAGGAAGGCUCGUCCGCUCUGGGUUAGUCGGGUCCUAAGCUGAGGCCGACAGGCGUAGGCGAUGGAUAACAGGUUGAUAUUCCUGUACCACCUAUAAUCGUUUUAAUCGAUGGGGGGAC